AGAAAUAAGCACACUGCAAUUCUCCAGAAUGUUCUUAUAAAAGGGACCAGACAUGGAAAUGAACCGUAUAUGCUGGCUAUCAUAUUUCAGUUGAUACCCAUUUCCUAAAAGAUUCUUUCUUCUACUUUAGGUUACUCUUUGAUGUCCAGAUAAGUGGAAAAAAAAAAACACUUUUCCAAUGUAUUGAUCUCUCUCAGGAGCAUUAGCUUCAGAUGAUCAUCUGUCCU
RNAcentral lists this long non-coding RNA (227 nucleotides) under Coturnix japonica (Japanese quail). Its description in RNAcentral is "lncRNA (ENSCJPG00005000744.1)". The record is from RNAcentral. Lineage: Eukaryota; Metazoa; Chordata; Aves; Galliformes; Phasianidae.